Molecule: transfer RNA, 69 nt
Filed under: Phrynosoma platyrhinos (Desert horned lizard)
Lineage: Eukaryota; Metazoa; Chordata; Lepidosauria; Squamata; Phrynosomatidae
Description: tRNA-OTHER
Source: RNAcentral
GCCAGCGUGGGGUAGUGGUUUGAGUGUUGGACUACAACUCGAGACCAGGGUUCGAGUCCCCACUUGGCC